Molecule: ribosomal RNA, 1426 nt
Filed under: Pediococcus acidilactici
Lineage: Bacteria; Bacillati; Bacillota; Bacilli; Lactobacillales; Lactobacillaceae
Description: bacterial SSU rRNA
Rfam family: Bacterial small subunit ribosomal RNA
Source: RNAcentral
UGCAAGUCGAACGAACUUCCGUUAAUUGAUCAGGACGUGCUUGCACUGAAUGAGAUUUUAACACGAAGUGAGUGGCGGACGGGUGAGUAACACGUGGGUAACCUGCCCAGAAGCAGGGGAUAACACCUGGAAACAGAUGCUAAUACCGUAUAACAGAGAAAACCGCCUGGUUUUCUUUUAAAAGAUGGCUCUGCUAUCACUUCUGGAUGGACCCGCGGCGCAUUAGCUAGUUGGUGAGGUAACGGCUCACCAAGGCGAUGAUGCGUAGCCGACCUGAGAGGGUAAUCGGCCACAUUGGGACUGAGACACGGCCCAGACUCCUACGGGAGGCAGCAGUAGGGAAUCUUCCACAAUGGACGCAAGUCUGAUGGAGCAACGCCGCGUGAGUGAAGAAGGGUUUCGGCUCGUAAAGCUCUGUUGUUAAAGAAGAACGUGGGUGAGAGUAACUGUUCACCCAGUGACGGUAUUUAACCAGAAAGCCACGGCUAAACUACGUGCCAGCAGCCGCGGUAAUACGUAGGUGGGAAAGCGUUAUCCGGAUUUAUUGGGGCGUAAAGCGAGCGCAGGCGGUCUUUUAAGUCUAAUGUGAAAGCCUUCGGCUCAACCGAAGAAGUGCAUUGGAAACUGGGAGACUUGAGUGCAGAAGAGGACAGUGGAACUCCAUGUGUAGCGGUGAAAUGCGUAGAUAUAUGGAAGAACACCAGUGGCGAAGGCGGCUGUCUGGUCUGUAACUGACGCUGAGGCUCGAAAGCAUGGGUAGCGAACAGGAUUAGAUACCCUGGUAGUCCAUGCCGUAAACGAUGAUUACUAAGUGUUGGAGGGUUUCCGCCCUUCAGUGCUGCAGCUAACGCAUUAAGUAAUCCGCCUGGGGAGUACGACCGCAAGGUUGAAACUCAAAAGAAUUGACGGGGGCCCGCACAAGCGGUGGAGCAUGUGGUUUUAAUUCGAAGCUACGCGAAGAACCUUACCAGGUCUUGACAUCUUCUGCCAACCUAAGAGAUUAGGCGUUUCCCUUCGGGGACAGAAUGACAGGUGGUGCAUGGUUGUCGUCAGCUCGUGUCGUGAGAUGUUGGGUUAAGUCCCGCAACGAGCGCAACCCUUAUUACUAGUUGCCAGCAUUCAGUUGGGCACUCUAGUGAGACUGCCGGUGACAAACCGGAGGAAGGUGGGGACGACGUCAAAUCAUCAUGCCCCUUAUGACCUGGGCUACACACGUGCUACAAUGGAUGGUACAACGAGUCGCGAAACCGCGAGGUUUAGCUAAUCUCUUAAAACCAUUCUCAGUUCGGACUGUAGGCUGCAACUCGCCUACACGAAGUCGGAAUCGCUAGUAAUCGCGGAUCAGCAUGCCGCGGUGAAUACGUUCCCGGGCCUUGUACACACCGCCCGUCACACCAUGAGAGUUUGUAACACCCAAAGCCGGUGG